AUGUACGAGGCCACUGACAUCCUUGAUCUCUGCCAGCUCGAGGCCAUGGACCAACAGGAACAGGACAAGCAACACUCCAGGGGCUUAUGCCUCCGGCUCCGGGAGAAGCUGCCAUUUCUAGGGUGCCUGGGGGAAAAGCUGCAGGAUGUCCUCCAGCCCUUUCUCUUUUGCGUGCAGAACCCUGGGUUUGCCAACGAGGUAGGCAGCCGCAUCAAGAAUCUCAACGAGGAGCUGGCCACCAUCCGCCAGGGUGUCGAUGGCUUCAACUUCCACAUUGACCUUGGCUCCUACGAGGAAAGGCGGAGGCCGCUGACCAGUUCGGCCUCCUACCCCAGGCGUGAGAACGCACAGUUCGUCCAGUCAAAUCUCGUGGGGGAUCAGAUCAAGAGGAAUACAGAGGAAACUGGUGCAGAAGCUAAUCUCAACCGACCACCGCGACCACGGUAG
This 447-nucleotide ribosomal RNA is filed under the name Triticum aestivum (bread wheat). RNAcentral's name for it is "partial small subunit ribosomal RNA". The record is from RNAcentral. Lineage: Eukaryota; Viridiplantae; Streptophyta; Magnoliopsida; Poales; Poaceae.